Long non-coding RNA from Marmota monax (woodchuck), 3513 nucleotides. RefSeq lists it as uncharacterized. Lineage: Eukaryota; Metazoa; Chordata; Mammalia; Rodentia; Sciuridae. The transcript is spliced from 4 exons. The record is from RefSeq and is a predicted model, not a curated record.
AAUUAAAAUAACUUGGAAAUUAAAAUAACUCCCUCCUUGCAAGGUUCUUGUGAGAAUGAAGAGAGAACAUCUUCAUUGUGCCCGGCAUACAGUAGGCCUGAACGUGCAGUAGGUUAACCCAUAAGGAAUCGCCAGUUUUCAAGUCACGGUCUCACCUCAUUAUCUUUUUCAUUACCAUGACCAUCAUUAACUAAGUGCUCUUGGACAUACUACUUUGUCUCUAAGUCUCCUCAUCCAAAGCAAGAGAAAUGAUGGGCCAAGCAGCCCGUGUAAGACCUGGCACAAGCAGAUGCUCAAUAAUCCUAGGUCCCCUCUCCAUCCCCUCCUCAUAUAGUCAUUUCUUUAUUGGCUGCCACGGGUUGCGGGUUGCGGCGGGGUGGGGGUGGGGCUCUCUUUUUCUGAUGGUCACAGCCCAGGAGGCACAAAAACAGUGACCAAGAGAAGAGAGAAUAAGGAGCUGGUUUUGAAAUCAUCUUCUCAGAGAAGUUUUAAAAGUUAAAAAAAAAACAAAACCACAUGUUUUUAAAAACCUGGCACAGAGCAACACUGUCGGUCAUGCCCAAGGCUUCCCCUGGGCCCUGGGGCAGGAGGCCAGGGCCCUGCUGAUAGGCCGCUCCUUCUCCACUCUCCCCUGCCAGCACUGUCCCAGAACCUGAGCAGGAGUCAACAGGAAAAUCAUUUCUGUGUGUUCUGGGUCACAGAUGAGCAAAUGCCAGAAUGUUCUUUUGGCAGCUGGAUGCUACCUGGAGCCACAGUGGAGCAGAAUAUUCCAGAUCUGGGAAGGCCCUGACGUCUCUGAGUCCAGCCUCCUGCCUAGAUGGGCAGCUGUCACACCUAGCUCUCCAAGGAUAGAAAUGUUAUCCCACCCCUAAUUCCCCCUGUAGGGUUCCCUUCCUUUUGUCCUCCUCUGCCUUUCCUUCCUUUAUCCGUCCAUCUCAUGGCCCCGCAGCAUCUUCCUGCUCUCACAGGGGGCCCACUCAGGAGUCAUACAGGGAAGAACACAAUGCCCCUGCCCCUGCCCGCUUCUUCCUCACUGGACUCUCGUUAUCUAUUUAGCAUCUAACUCUUCCACCAGCCUGGACCCAGGAGAAACUGAACCCAGAGGAUACACGCCGAGACCCCCAUGGGAUGUCUGAAACUGCCGAUAGUACCAAACCUAGACACAAGCAUUGUGAAACCUCCACGGUUGAUCUAAUAACCAAGAUGGCUAGUAACUGAGACCAUGGAACACAAAACCACGGAGAAGGGAGACUGCUACAGUUGUUUAAUGUUAAGUGAAUGAAUAGCUCGGCUCUGGGGGAACAUUUUUGGUGAGAAGAUGCCGGCUGCUUUGAAGGGAGUCUGUUCCCCUGAAGGGAACAGGCCGGAGGUGGUGGGCCCAAGCCCAGGCAGGCACAGCUGGUCCCCAGGCCUCCUAAUGCUGGAGGUGUCAUCCCCUAAGAGGCCACUGCUACUCAGAAGCUUCCCAUAAUUCUCCUCACCAGGAGUGGGGGAUCCCCAAGCCUGGAAAUUCCCAGUAGGUUCAUCCCACUCCACCCUACAGCACCACGGGCCUGGUCAUUCUCAACACAAUUUCUUGGAAGGAAAAAUUGGCUCAAAAUCAGAAGUUCUGGAAUUCACUACAGGAAGUGGCUAUAUGAAUAAGAGGAAAGGUUUCUGAUUAAAGAGUCAAGAAUUCUGGGUUUCGAUUCCCACUUUAGAAAACAUGGGCAUGGAUUGGGUCCUGGGUUCAACUCCAGCUCUGCUGGUAAGUCAGAUACUUCACUGAGCCCUCAUUUCCUCUUUUGAAAAGGGAUUACAAUAUCUGCCUAGCAGGUUCUUGUGGGGAUUACAGAGGAAGCAGCUGGGGCAAUAGUCAGCAGGCAUGCAAAGAUUUUCACUUACUUCUUGGUGAGUAGCUGCUAUCCCCUGAGGGCCCCUAGCCCAGCAGGAUUCACAAAAGGUUAACAUCUAGUCCAGUAGGGGACUACACCAUCCUGGGGCCCAAAUUGAACUAAAUGGGUAAGAACAAAAUGCUCUGUAAACUGCAAAGUGCCCUGACCUCCACAUUCGCACCUCCAGCUCAGAUCUACCUCCUGAAUAUGGAUAUUCGCCCUGUUUCCAGGACCUUCCACAUGGAUGUCUUGCUCACCACUAUCAAAUUGAGCUGUUUGUCAAAGGAAUUGGCUCCGCCUCUGCCCAGUUGCUCCAGGAAGGAGCCUUCAGUCUCCCAAGACUCUUUCAUACCCAGUCUCUCCCCUGUUCAGCAGUUCUGUUUUUCCUCUAAGUUCACAGACCCAUCCCUCCUUCCUGGCCCUACCUGCCUCAUUCCCUCAUCAUUUCUCUGCUAAGUUGUAACAACCACCUCCACGCUGACCCUUGGGCACCAAUGUAUCCUUCCAUUUUAUUCUCAUACUGUGGGCAGAACCACUUUCCAAAAGCAAGGGCUUUCUCAUUGAACCCCCAAUGAAACAUCACCAUCACCCAUCAUUGACAUCCAUCAAUGAUGGUUGAUGCAGGGAAGUAGACCUUCUGGAAUGUUCAUUGCAUGAUGUGAAGAACAACUCCCCAUUGCCUCCAAGAUAAAUCGUGAAUGUCUGUUUCCCAGGCUCAACAUGCUAUUUCACACCUCUUUGCUUUUGCACAUGUUAUUUCAUCUGCCUGGAAUGCCUCGAAAUGGAAAAGAGAAAUCCUAUUCUCCCAGCCAAUUCCUACUCCUGCUAAGCUCUGCCUCCCCUGGGAAACCUUCUAUUCAUUCCUCCAAAGCUGAUGCUUCCUGAGCCCUGGGCAUAGCUGCUGGGUGCUGAUCUGCCCUUAUGGACAGACCCCCAGCUUCAUCUUGGCUCAGAUGCACAGGGCCUGGCUACUCGGUGACUUGGAUUCAUUUUGUGCUGGAGUGGGAUGUCUUGGGCAGCAGCUGCCAAGGAGAAGAAACUUCAAGUGAGAUUUGGAAGCACGAGAGUACCCAGCCUGUCUGGGGGAGGCUGCACGGUGUCUCGUAUUGCUCAUCCUGACGGUGGUUGUCAUCCUUCUCCCCCUCAUCACUACCAUCAUCAUCAUCACCCAGUCAUCAGGGUCUUGCUUUCAGGAUGCUGACCACAUGCAAGGCUCAAGGCCAUGAGUUUGACGGCAGGCCUCCCUAUAAUCUUUAUUUUAUCUUCAAUAUUAGUAACUCCCCCAAGUUGGUACUGCAAGUAUCACUAUUUUAUAGAUAUGGAAAUUGAGGUUCAGGAAGGCUAAGAGCUCUGCCCAAGGUCACUCAUCUGGUUAGUGAUGGGGCUAGCUAAUCCAGGGAUGCUCUCAUUUACCAUAUUAGUGGGCAGCUGGCCACACUGAUCUCAUCCCUUCUGAGUCCCUCCCACCCCAUCACUGUCUGCGGAACUCCUUUCCUAAGUGAACAGACUUUCCACUGAGAUGUUGGGUGGGCCCGGCUGGAGCAACCAUGAGACCUGGGAGGGCACUUGGGAGGGGGGAAAGAGGACAUUCAGAUCCCUGUGUACCCUUCUAGAUCUCAACAACAUGGUGUUUGAUUUA